GUGUCAGCCGCCGCGGUAAUACAGAGGGUGCAAGCGUUAAUCGGAUUUACUGGGCGUAAAGCGCGCGUAGGCGGCUAAUUAAGUCAAAUGCGAAAUCCCCGAGCUCAACUUGGGAAUUGCAUUCGAUACUGGUUAGCUAGAGUGUGGGAGAGGAUGGUAGAACUCCAGGUGUAGCGGUGAAAUGCGUAGAGAUCUGGAGGAAUACCGAUGGCGAAGGCAGCCAUCUGGCCUAACACUGACGCUGAGGUGCGAAAGCAUGGGGAGCAAACAGGAUUAGAUACCCCAGUAGUCC
This 292-nucleotide ribosomal RNA is filed under the name uncultured prokaryote. RNAcentral describes it as "partial 16S ribosomal RNA". It matches the Rfam family "Bacterial small subunit ribosomal RNA", at positions 505 to 796 of the family's 1533-position model. The record is from RNAcentral.